This 429-nucleotide ribosomal RNA is filed under the name bacterium. RNAcentral's name for it is "partial 16S ribosomal RNA". It matches the Rfam family "Bacterial small subunit ribosomal RNA", at positions 355 to 776 of the family's 1533-position model. The record is from RNAcentral.
UAGGGAAUCUUCCACAAUGGACGCAAGUCUGAUGGAGCAACGCCGCGUGAGUGAAGAAGGUUUUCGGAUCGUAAAGCUCUGUUGUUGGUGAAGAAGGAUAGAGGCAGUAACUGGUCUUUAUUUGACGGUAAUCAACCAGAAAGUCACGGCUAACUACGUGCCAGCAGCCGCGGUAAUACGUAGGUGGCAAGCGUUGUCCGGAUUUAUUGGGCGUAAAGCGAGCGCAGGCGGAAUGAUAAGUCUGAUGUGAAAGCCCACGGCUCAACCGUGGAACUGCAUCGGAAACUGUCAUUCUUGAGUGCAGAAGAGGAGAGUGGAAUUCCAUGUGUAGCGGAGGAAUGCGUAGAUAUAUGGAAGAACACAAGUGGCGAAGGCGGCUCUCUGGUCUGCAACUGACGCUGAGGCUCGAAAGCAUGGGUAGCGAACAGG